AACCAUAGAAACCUGCGGAGUACCUGCGGAGGGAUCAUUACCGAGUGUGGCCCCAUUUUUAAAACAAAUAGGGGUACCUCCCGUCCUUUGCAGGGCCCUUUGGGGCUUUUUGAACUUUGCUUCGGCGGGUUUACCCCGCCGGAACACCCUCAAGAAAAUCUUUUUAAAAAUACUGUUGUCUGGGCAUUUACAAAAUAAAAACAAAACUUUUAACAACGGAUCUCAGAUCGGAAGAGCACA
This 240-nucleotide unclassified non-coding RNA is filed under the name soil metagenome. RNAcentral's name for it is "partial contains 5.8S ribosomal RNA, internal transcribed spacer 2, and large subunit ribosomal RNA". The record is from RNAcentral.